This 72-nucleotide transfer RNA is filed under the name Vibrio phage Va1. It matches the Rfam family "tRNA". From Rfam's summary of the family: Transfer RNA (tRNA) molecules are approximately 80 nucleotides in length. Lineage: Duplodnaviria; Heunggongvirae; Uroviricota; Caudoviricetes. The record is from Rfam by way of RNAcentral. RNAcentral also lists the same sequence under 1 other name.
GCGAGUAUGGAGAAAUGGCGUCUUGUUGGGUUCAUAUCCCGAAUAACGGUAGGUUCGAAUCCUACACUCGCA